UGCCAGCCGCCGCGGUAAUACGGAGAGGGCAAGCGUUGUUCGGAAUCACUGGGCAUAAAGCGCACGUAGGCGGAUUGGAAAGUCAGUUGUGAAAGCCCGGGGCUCAACCCCGGAAUUGCUUCUGAAACUUCCAGUCUUGAGGGUGAGAGGGGAGAGUGGAACUUCUGGUGGAGCGGUGAAAUGCGUAGAGAUCAGAAGGAACACCGGUGGCGAAGGCGGCUUUCUGGACCGAUACUGACGCUGAGACGCGAAAGCGUGGGGAGCAAACAGGAUUAGAUA
RNAcentral lists this ribosomal RNA (279 nucleotides) under uncultured bacterium. RNAcentral describes it as "partial 16S ribosomal RNA". It matches the Rfam family "Bacterial small subunit ribosomal RNA", at positions 506 to 784 of the family's 1533-position model. The record is from RNAcentral.